Molecule: ribosomal RNA, 265 nt
Filed under: Providencia rettgeri
Lineage: Bacteria; Pseudomonadati; Pseudomonadota; Gammaproteobacteria; Enterobacterales; Morganellaceae
Description: partial 23S ribosomal RNA
Rfam family: Bacterial large subunit ribosomal RNA
Source: RNAcentral
AUCCUCCAAGGCUAAAUACUCCUGAUUGACCGAUAGUGAACCAGUACCGUGAGGGAAAGGCGAAAAGAACCCCGGCGAGGGGAGUGAAAUAGAACCUGAAACCGUGUACGUACAAGCAGUGGGAGCCUUGAUUUAUCAGGGUGACUGCGUACCUUUUGUAUAAUGGGUCAGCGACUUAUAUUCUGUAGCAAGGUUAACCGUAUAGGGGAGCCGUAGGGAAACCGAGUCUUAACUGGGCGAAUAAGUUGCAGGGUAUAGACCCGAA